RNAcentral lists this ribosomal RNA (515 nucleotides) under uncultured bacterium. Its description in RNAcentral is "partial 16S ribosomal RNA". It matches the Rfam family "Bacterial small subunit ribosomal RNA", at positions 28 to 523 of the family's 1533-position model. The record is from RNAcentral.
GAUGAACGCUGGCGGCGUGCCUAAUACAUGCAAGUCGAGCGAAUGGAUUAAGAGCUUGCUCUUAUGAAGUUAGCGGCGGACGGGUGAGUAACACGUGGGUAACCUGCCCAUAAGACUGGGAUAACUCCGGGAAACCGGGGCUAAUACCGGAUAACAUUUUGAACCGCAUGGUUCGAAAUUGAAAGGCGGCUUCGGCUGUCACUUAUCGAUGGCCCCGCGUCGCAUUAGCUAGUUGGUGAGGUAAAUGCUCACCAAGGCAACGAUGCGUAGCCGACCUGAGAGGGUGAUCGGCCACACUGGGACUGAGACACGGCCCAGACUCCUACGGGAGGCAGCAGUAGGGAAUCUUCCGUAAUGGACGAAAGUCUGACGGAGCAACGCCGCGUGAGUGAUGGAGGCUUUCGGGUCGUAAAACUCUGUUGUUAGGGAAGAACAAGUGCUAGUUGAAUAAGCUGGCACCUUGACGGUACCUAACCAGAAAGCCACGGCUAACUACGUGCCAGCCGCCGCGGUAA